AGGAUGAACGCUAGCGGCAGGCCUAAUACAUGCAAGUCGAACGGUAAGUAGAGUAGCAAUACUUUACCAAGAGUGACGCACGGGUGCGUGACACGUAUGCAACCUACCCUUUACAGGAGUAUAGCUCGGGGAAACUCGAAUUAACACUUCAUAGUAUAAUUGAAUGGCAUCAUUUGAUUAUUAAAUCUGAGGAGGUAAAGGAUGGGCAUGCGUCUGAUUAGCUUAGUUGGUAGUGUAAUGGACUACGAAGGCGAUGAUCGAGGUAGGGGAACGUGGAGGUAGGUUAGACUCCCCCCAC
This 298-nucleotide ribosomal RNA is filed under the name uncultured soil bacterium. Its description in RNAcentral is "partial 16S ribosomal RNA". It matches the Rfam family "Bacterial small subunit ribosomal RNA", at positions 26 to 311 of the family's 1533-position model. The record is from RNAcentral.